This 351-nucleotide unclassified non-coding RNA is filed under the name plant metagenome. Its description in RNAcentral is "partial contains 5.8S ribosomal RNA, internal transcribed spacer 2, and large subunit ribosomal RNA". The record is from RNAcentral.
GAUCCGGAUCAUGCCGCUUGAGUCGCAAGAUGUGACGAGUUGUCUCCCCACCGGCGAAACGGGACAAGUCGCCGUCGCGGCGGCGUCGAUGCUGCGAGGGUACCUCGGGCAAAUGGAUUCACCGACGAUCGGGGGAUACUUCCUCACCGGCGACCUCGGCCGGCUUGACGAGUUUGGGAACCUCACCAUCACCGGGCGGAUGAAGCUCCUGAUCGACGUCGGCGGCAAAAAGGUGAACCCACUGGAGGUCGAAGAGGUGCUUGCGCAGCAUCCCGGCGUGGCGACGUGCGUCGUGGUGCCGGUGCAAGUCAGCGACACCGUUUCGCGCCUGAAGGCAAUCGUCACCCCCGU